UGGGGAAUUUUGGACAAUGGGCGAAAGCCUGAUCCAGCAAUGCCGCGUGUGUGAAGAAGGCCUUCGGGUUGUAAAGCACUUUUGUCCGGAAAGAAAUCCUUGGCUCUAAUACAGUCGGGGGAUGACGGUACCGGAAGAAUAAGCACCGGCUAACUACGUGCCAGCAGCCGCGGUAAUACGUAGGGUGCAAGCGUUAAUCGGAAUUACUGGGCGUAAAGCGUGCGCAGGCGGUUUGCUAAGACCGAUGUGAAAUCCCCGGGCUCAACCUGGGAACUGCAUUGGUGACUGGCAGGCUAGAGUAUGGCAGAGGGGGGUAGAAUUCACGUGUAGCAGUGAAAUGCGUAGAGAUGUGGAGGAAUACCGAUGGCGAAGGCAGCCCCCUGGGCCAAUACUGACGCUCAUGCACGAAAGCGUGGGGAGCAAACAGGAUUAGAUACCCUGGUAGUCCACGCCCUAAACGAUGUCAACUAGUUGUUGGGGAUUCAUUUCCUUAGUAACGUAGCUAACGCGUGAAGUUGACCGCCUGGGGAGUACGGUCGCAAGAUUAAAACUCAAAUGAAUUGACGGGGUCAUAGCUG
Molecule: ribosomal RNA, 578 nt
Filed under: uncultured bacterium
Lineage: Bacteria
Description: partial 16S ribosomal RNA
Rfam family: Bacterial small subunit ribosomal RNA
Source: RNAcentral